Molecule: transfer RNA, 64 nt
Filed under: Nannospalax golani (Golan Heights blind mole rat)
Lineage: Eukaryota; Metazoa; Chordata; Mammalia; Rodentia; Spalacidae
Description: tRNA-Tyr
Rfam family: tRNA
About the family: Transfer RNA (tRNA) molecules are approximately 80 nucleotides in length.
Source: RNAcentral
GGUAAGGUGGCUGAGUAAGCAUUAGACUGUAAAUCUAAAGACAGGGAGAGUACCCUUCUUACCA